Long non-coding RNA from Cyprinus carpio carpio, 2079 nucleotides. The record is from Ensembl. NCBI's taxonomy places the organism in Eukaryota, Metazoa, Chordata, Actinopteri, Cypriniformes, Cyprinidae.
AUAUUUAAGUAAAAAGAUAAAAUUAGAUCCUUGGGGUGAAAUGAUGAAGAAAAUAUUAUUUCAUUAUUUCUAUAUCAAUAGUUUCAUGUUUAAUUACCUAGCAAUUUCUGAGUGAAAUUAGUUUGAAAGGGUUAGGGAUUUGAUUAUGUUAGACAGCAGGACAACUUUUUGAAAACUAUUUAUUUUGCUAAAUUUGAGGUGGGCUAAUUAAUUUGUUUGGUUAAAUUUGGAGAUUACAAAACAGACCAAAGGAAUGCAAAUAUCUGAGGCUAUGAUGAAUGCAAAAACAUCACUCUCCACAUUUGGCCUGUCGUCUCUGUGAAACAUCUGGAUUAGAAGUGUAGUUGGGCCCCUCAGCGGUCUGUAUUCAGUUUGCUGUGCUAGCAAACAUCCAAGUGCCCAUUUAGCCCGAGAGAGCUGCUCACCAUAAGCUCUCUAUCCAGAUUGUAUAUAUUUAAACAAAUGAGUUUUGCCAUUAGCAGCAAACACACAGUGAUAGUACUGUCUGCCCGCUCUGACAAAAUAAAACAGAAGAGUUGUGCAGUCUCUCAAUGAGAAGUCCAUGUCACAGCUGGUCUUCCUGACAGUGCUUGUGAAUCAUCCUUACAUCUCUUGUUUAAGGUCAGUUCUGGAGGCGGAUAUCCCAUUCCACAUCAACACUCUCGGCAAUAAGACAAUUUGUGAACACGAGCCCAGAUGCCGAGAUCUGUCUCCUCCAGCUCUUACCUCCCUUCAGUGCCAGCUCUCUUCUCAGAGGUGCUAGCCAAUGGUUUCUGAGUAGACAAAGUGAACAGAAGCACAGUGCUGACAGUAUUCCCUGUGUGGCUUACACACCAUUAUGGCUGGGCAUGCGAUACCAGGAAUCCACUCAGACACAGCGUGUGAUAAGGUCAGGCUGCAGAUCUUCCUAAUCUGGGAUUGUCAACAUGGAGCCAUUGGCAAGGAGGCUGUUUGUCCACAAGGUCCAUUUGCGAAGAAAAUGCAAGGACCUAAAUAAAUAGGUCCAUGUGCCAAAGGGGAGCCUUUGCCAAAAAGCACAGAUGCUGUGAAUGGUUGGUACUUAAAUCAAUGCUAUUUAUGUGAAUGUGACAUACGUAAGAAAACAAGCGGAGUGUGUCUGUUAAGUAGCUGCUAUGCCAUGUGCCAGUUCUCUGUCUGGCUCUCACAUGUCUACACAAACAAAAACAAGUUGUUACUAUGUCUUUACGCCACAAGGAGCUACAUCUGAAGCUGCACAUGUACUAAAGUAAUUUUUGAAGGUCAGAUCAAGUUUAAUUAACUCUUUAUGGUAUCAACUCCACUGCUAAAGUGUAUUUUUCUCAGCUGGAUCACAGCAGUGCAGAGAUGACUUAAAAAUUUAAGUCAUGGUGAACUCCAACCCUGUAAUGAAAAUCAGUAAGGAACCCAGAUAAAAUAGGACUGCUGUCUUCUCCACUCAUUCUACCUGUUAUCAUAUCCCAGGAGUUGACAUGGCACAGUGUGCAGCCAGGUUUGAAACGUGACACCCUCAUCGAACCCCUGGAGUCCCAGGGGAGCCCCUCAGACAGGCUUACUCAAGCUUCAGAGAUGAAAAUCAAUAAACAAUCUGAAGUUCUCAGAAAACAUUUGUUUCUGUAGUUUAAUGAAUAUACAAGUUCAGUGUAUCCAGAAAUCUAAUAAUAUUAAUACUAAUACUACUAAUAAUAAGUUUUCUUUAUAAAGCGCCUUUCCCAAGCUCAAGUAGAAAAUACAUAAACAGCAUCAAUCAUGAAUAAAUCCAAAGAUUUAACAAUACAUUUGAAUAUAUAAGUGUUUGCGCUCCAUCUCAUUUUCCUUUUUAAAUAUUUACAUUUAAUAAUAGGUGACAAGCCUGAAUAAACUUGAUUUUAUUUAUUUUUUUAUUUAAUUUUUAUUUUUUUUUUUAUUUUUUUUUACGUGAAAACAGCACACCAGAGUGACAAUGAAAGUGUAUGAAACUGCUAAAGAUCAUUUCUUGAUAUGUUCAGGGCAUGAGAAUAUAUACUUGCAGGGCAGAAGAAUCUUAUAUUUUAGACAAAAUAUCACAGGUUACUUUGUGUAAAUUUGCUCUGCCAGUAUUCC